Molecule: non-coding RNA, 71 nt
Organism: Potamilus streckersoni
Lineage: Eukaryota; Metazoa; Mollusca; Bivalvia; Unionida; Unionidae
Source: the annotation of a GenBank genome assembly
AGCGGUGACCUAGUGGUAAAGGCGUCCGCCUCGGAUGCGGGAGGUCGCGGGUUCGAUCCCUGGCUGAGUCA